CAAAGAUUUGGUCCUGGUUUUUCUAUCAACUCUGGCUUAACUUACACAUGCAAGUAUCCGCACCCCCGUGCGUAAUGCCCUUAGUACUCUGAUUUAGGAUAAGGAGCUGACAUCAGGCACAGUUAUUAUACUAGCCCACGACGUCUAGUUUAGCCACACCCCCAAGGGUAUUCAGCAGUGAUAAAUAUUAAGCCAUAAGUGAAAACUUGACUUAGUUUAAAGCCAAGCCACGGGCCGGUAAAACUCGUGCCAGCCACCGCGGUUAUACGAGUGACCCAAGCUGAUAGACAUCGGCGUAAAGUGUGGUUAAGGACUAUUUUACACUAAAGCCGAAUGCCUACAAAACUGUCAUAAGUUCUUCGAAGGUAAGAAGUUCAUCAACGAAAGUAGCUUUAAAUUGCCUGACUCCACGUAAGCUAAGGAACAAACUGGGAUUAGGUACCCCACUAUGCUUAGCCCUAAACUUUGAUAGCAACUUACAUUUGCUAUCCGCCCGGGUACUACGAGCAAUUGGCUUAAAACCCAAAGGACUUGGCGGUGCUUCAAACCCCUCUAGAGGAGCCUGUUCUGUAAUCGAUAAUCCCCGCUAAACCUCACCCUCUCUGGCCAUCCCCGCUUAUAUACCGCCGUCGUCAGCCUGCCCUGUGAAGGUAAUUAUAGCAGGCUAAAUUAGUAAAACUCAAAACGUCAGGUCAAGGUGUAGCAUAUGGGAGGGGAAGAAAUGGGCUACAUUCUUUAUUAUAAAGAAUACGAAACAUGUAAUGAAAAAUGCAUAAUUGAAGGCGGAUUUAGUAGUAAGUAGAAAAUAGAGUGUUCUACUGAAAAUGGCACUGAAGCGCGUACAUACCGCCCGUCACUCUCUUCCGCCAACCCCUAAUAAUUUCGCAGGUGGUAGGAGAGACAAGUCGUAACAUGGUAAGUGUACCGGAAGGUGUACUUGGAUAAAU
Molecule: non-coding RNA, 947 nt
Filed under: Taeniacara candidi
Lineage: Eukaryota; Metazoa; Chordata; Actinopteri; Cichliformes; Cichlidae
Description: 12S ribosomal RNA
Rfam family: Bacterial small subunit ribosomal RNA
Source: RNAcentral